This 2533-nucleotide long non-coding RNA is filed under the name Phaseolus vulgaris (common bean). RNAcentral describes it as "long non-coding RNA (PVUL_LNC001161)". The record is from RNAcentral. Lineage: Eukaryota; Viridiplantae; Streptophyta; Magnoliopsida; Fabales; Fabaceae.
CCAGAACGACUUGCUCGUGUUUUAGGGUACUAAAGUACUAGGCUGUAUCUAUAUGUGUAUAUGUCUUAUUAUAUAUAAAUAAUUCAAUCACCUUCUUUCAAGGUUUUUUAAUGUUUCAAUUUUUAAAUAAAAAGUGUAUAUGUACAUGGACAAAUAUCUACCAACCUAGGUUUACUUUUCCUCCUCAAGUUUCUUGUAGAGAAGUAUACCAAUUACUUUUUGUAUUAUAAAAUUGCGAAGAAAUAGAUUAGUAAAAUCUUAUCUAAAAAGUCCUAGAACCUUUAGUGUUUGAUCCGUUCUUUUUAUGAUAUGGACUUUAGUGUUUGAUCUCUUGUUUUUAUGAUAUGUUAUAUAUGGUCCUAGUAGACUCUUUAGUCUCUUGGGAUCUAUGGAGACUUGGUUCCUCUGUUAAAAUCAUUUAAGUAAAUUUCUAGUUUAGUUGUCAAAAACAUUGUUUAUAUGUCUUACUUAUUAGUUUGAUGUCUUUUAAUUGAAUCAUACUAUUUUACUAUUUUGUGUGUGUACGUGAUUCUUCUUAUUCGUCCUCUUAUAUUUAUCUUUUACCUACUACAUUUAUUGGUUCAUCAACUAUUAUUCUUGUUUUGUUUGUAUACUAGGUAGACGAAUAUAUAAUAAAUUUCUUUGAGCUAAUUUCUAACAAAAAAAAUGCAACUAUCACUUUUCAAUUUAUUUGCAGGCAUUACACAUACUGUCAUUUAUUUAAGGCGAGGAUAUGGUACUUUUAAGAACCUUACAUGGCAAUACUCGUACCUAUUCUACUGUAUAUUUAUAAUAUUUAAGAGAUGAAAAAUGAUGGAGACUUUAAAAUAAGAGGGAAAGAGAGAUGUAUGCAUUUUGUUGUCGAAUAAUAGACCUAAUAGUGACAUUAAUCAUGCCGCCAGUACAGAAUAUAUUUUAUUGAUUCAGUUUUUAUAAUGUUAUUGUUUGUAUCGGCAUUUCAAAGAAUAACACCUAGAAUUACUUGAGAAUGAUAAAAUAUGUUACUUAAAUACUUGCACAAAACAUCUACCAUGAAAUACUUGUACCAAAUAUAUACAAAGGUAUACUGUUCCAAAUAUGUCACAUCGGUUAAAUAUAUUUUGUGCUAAGUAUCACUCUACAUUGUUAAACAAUGUGUUGGAUGUGUUGGUGUAGAAGAUGAGUUUAUAAAUCAUUUUUUUAAUUAUAAAGUUGUUUGGUUUAUUUGGGAAAUAUGUUAUAAUUGGUUGAAGGUGUUGAUGAUUAAUUAUUAUGAUGUGAAAUUACAUUUUAUGCGUAACAAAAUUGGUUCUCGUAAGGGAUGUGCAGUGUAUGGAGUGUUAAAGUUCUUGGAUUGGUCUGAUAGGAGAGAAGAGUCAAUAUGAAGGAAAGGAGUUGAAGAAAAAGGUAAAGUUCAGGUCGUGACAUUUUAGUGAUGAUAUUUUGAUUUUUGUUGGCACCCACUUAUAUACUAUGAAAUAUUAUUAUCUCUAAUCGAUGUGAGAUAUCCAAACACACAUCCCGUAAUACCAAAUCGUGCAUGAGACUAUAUAUUUAUGAGUGGUCUAAUAAAGGGUGACAUGAUAAACCCAAUAAACUCUUGCUAAGACUCUAAAUAGAGUUGAUAUUAUGUUAAACUAAAAACAAAAUAUAAAAAAUUCAGUAAUCUAAUAUUUAAAGUUUGUAAGGAAAUAUAUAUAUAUAUAUAUAUAUUUUUUAUUUUUAUUUUCUUUUAUUUCUUUUUUUGUCUUUUUUGCUUGUAGUUAUCUUUUUAGUUUAAAGUGAAUAGAAAAAGUAUGAUUUAUGUUUAGAAAUAAUUAUUAGCAAUGUAAGCCUUCUUAUUAUCUAACAUUAUAUAUUAAGGAUACAUUUUUCAAUCUUAAAAGCUAAGUUAAUAGAUAAGUGAGGUUUUUUUUUAUGUUACAAUAAAAUAACUUCAAACAUCAUCUAUACAUUUAUUAUUUAUACAAAAUAAGUACGUUAAGGUCAAUAAACAUUUAAAAACAAAAACUUCUUUUAAGCAUCAUUUAAUAAGAUUCACAUACAUUGAUCCACGAGUAAGGGUAUCAUCUAGAACCUUUCAUAUUAUUAAUAUCUUUUCAUAUUAUCUGUACCAUGUGCAUUAUAAAAACCUAAAUAUACCACUAAAACACUAAAAAUUAUCAAAAAAAUCAGCACAGAGAGCAUUUUCUUGAAACAAAAAACUAUGAAAUAAGUGAUCACAAUUAUGCAGAAACAAAUAUCUUGUAUAUGCAUGUCACCUCACGUAUAGUUCUGUAGACGUAUCCCUCUGAUGUAACCAACAAUAUUUAGGAAACAUCUGUCUGAGAUAUUUGUCUCGAGAUAUUGAGAUGAGAAGUAGAAAUGUUUUGAGAGUGGGACCUGCAUGCAUGUAAUGAACAGGUUUAGUGUAUAUAGAUAACAUUGUACAAUGUAACUGGGUGAAAGAUAAUACUGUAAUAAUAUGGGAAGGAGGAAUCAAGUUUGUGAUAGAUACAAUGGGCUGUUUAAGAUAACAGGGUGCAGAUUUAUUUAGGUGAAUGUAGAAAACAUU